RNAcentral lists this long non-coding RNA (81 nucleotides) under Mustela putorius furo (domestic ferret). RNAcentral describes it as "lncRNA (ENSMPUG00000030364.1)". The record is from RNAcentral. Lineage: Eukaryota; Metazoa; Chordata; Mammalia; Carnivora; Mustelidae.
UCUGGCUCUCCAUUGUGCUGAUCUCUGUGGCUCCUGUUGCGUCAGGAUCAUGCUGUCUUGGUGUUGUGUGCUGUGUCCCUG